Molecule: transfer RNA, 74 nt
Filed under: Alphaproteobacteria bacterium
Lineage: Bacteria; Pseudomonadati; Pseudomonadota; Alphaproteobacteria
Also listed under: 1 other name
Description: tRNA-Cys
Rfam family: tRNA
About the family: Transfer RNA (tRNA) molecules are approximately 80 nucleotides in length. Their secondary structure includes four short double-helical elements and three loops (D, anti-codon, and T loops).
Source: RNAcentral
GGCUUGGUGGCAGAGUGGUUAUGCAGAGGACUGCAAAUCCUUGUAUGCCGGUUCGAUUCCGACCCAAGCCUCCA